This 518-nucleotide ribosomal RNA is filed under the name uncultured bacterium. RNAcentral describes it as "partial 16S ribosomal RNA". It matches the Rfam family "Bacterial small subunit ribosomal RNA", at positions 355 to 868 of the family's 1533-position model. The record is from RNAcentral.
CUAAGAAUAUUCCGCAAUGGACGGAAGUCUGACGGAGCGACGCCGCGUGGAUGAAGAAGGCCGAAAGGUGUAAAGUUCUUUUGCUGGGGAAGAAUAACCGCAGGAGGGAAUGCCUGUGGGAUGACAAGAACCGGCGAAUAAGCCCCGGCCAACUACGUGCCAGCAGCCGCGGUAACACGUAGGGGGCGAGCGUUGUUCGGAAUUACUGGGCGUAAAGGGCAUGUAGGCGGCUUGGAAAGCCUGGCGUGAAAGUCUGCAGCUUAACUGCAGGGGUGCGCUGGGAACUGCUGAGCUUGAGUGACGGAGAGGGAGCUGGAAUUCCUGGUGUAGGGGUGAAAUCUGUAGAUAUCAGGAAGAACACCGAUGGCGAAGGCAAGCUCCUGGCCGAUGACUGACGCUGAGGUGCGAAAGUGUGGGGAUCAAACAGGAUUAGGAUACCCUGGUAGUCCACACAGUCAACGAUGUGCACUAGGUGCUGGGGCGGUAGCUUCGGUGCCGGAGCGAACGUGGUAAGUGCA